GACGAACGCUGGCGGCGUGCUUAACACAUGCAAGUCGAACGAAGAGCGAUGGAAGCUUGCUUCUAUCAAUCUUAGUGGCGAACGGGUGAGGAACGCGUAAUCAACCUGCCCUUCAGAGGGGGACAACAGUUGGAAACGACUGCUAAUACCGCAUACGAUCCGACCUCGGCAUCGAGGAUAGAUGAAAGGUGGCCUCUACAUGUAAGCUAUCACUGAAGGAGGGGAGUGCGUCUGAUUAGCUAGUUGGAGGGGUAACGGCCCACCAAGGCGAGGAUCAGUAGCCGGUCUGAGAGGAUGAACGGCCACAUUGGGACUGAGACACGGCCCAGACUCCUACGGGAGGCAGCAGUGGGGAAUCUUCCGCAAUGGACGAAAGUCUGACGGAGCAACGCCGCGUGAGUGAUGACGGCCUUCGGGUUGUAAAGCUCUGUUAAUCGGGACGAAAGGCCUUUUUGCGAAUAGUGAGAAGGAUUGACGGUACCGGAAUAGAAAGCCACGGCUAACUACGUG
Molecule: ribosomal RNA, 510 nt
Filed under: uncultured bacterium
Lineage: Bacteria
Description: partial 16S ribosomal RNA
Rfam family: Bacterial small subunit ribosomal RNA
Source: RNAcentral